This 2605-nucleotide long non-coding RNA is filed under the name Aquilegia coerulea. Its description in RNAcentral is "long non-coding RNA (ACOE_LNC001728)". Lineage: Eukaryota; Viridiplantae; Streptophyta; Magnoliopsida; Ranunculales; Ranunculaceae. The record is from RNAcentral.
UGCCUCUCUUCUUUCUCAGCCGUUUCUCAAACUAAAGCCUCAAUUCUCUGCCUCAAACCCUAAUUGAAUUGUAUAAUUGAAUUAUGAAGAAGAAAAGAUCAAACCUUACAGAUCUGAAGCCAUCUCUUUGUACUAGUUGAAGGAAAUUUCAAAAGAGAUAGAGGAAUUAAUCUGUUUGUUUGUUCAAUUGUGUGAUAAAGAUGAGAGCCAGUCUUCCUUCUAACGUACGCAGACAUACAGGGAAGAAGAAAGAAAAGAUUAUCCACAAUAUUCCGGACUUAUAUCAAUCAACAGGUUAAUGACCUUUUCUAUUCUUUUUUCAGAUCAAGUUUGGUCUUUUAUCUCUUUUAAGUUUUUUUUUUCUAUGUCGAUUCAUUAAAUUUGGUUGUUUUUUUUUCUUGAUUCAUACACAGACAUACAUUGAUGACGAAAAAGAAGAAGAUCCACCACAUACAAAGAAAUCCAGACUUAAUAUCAAUCAACAGGUUUAUGACUUUUUCUUUUCUUAGAUCAAGCUUGAUUCUUUUAAAAUUUUUUCCCCAAGUCUCAAUUGAUUAAAUUUGGGUAUUUCUUCUUCCUAAUUCAUACACAGACAUUCAAAGAAGAACAAAAUCUACCAUAUACAAUGAAUUCAGACUUAUAAUGUCAAACAACAGGUUUGUGACCUUUUCUACUAUAUUAAUAAGAUCAAGUUUAGUUUUUUUUUAUCUCUUCCACUUGUUUAUUCAAGUCUCAAUUCAUUAAAUUUGGGUUUUUCUUCUUAAUUCGUACAGACAUACAAAGAAGAAGAAGCAGUAGAAGAUCCAUCACAUUCGAGUUUAGACCUAUAAUAUCAAUGAACAGGUUUGUAACAUUUUCUAUUCUUUUUCCAGAUUUUGAUUCUUUAUCUCUUCAAGUUUUCUUGUUAAGUCUCACCUCAUUAAAUUUGGGUGUUUCUUCUUAAUUCUUAUCAGAUCAGGGAUACAGCCUUCGCUGUUUGAGUGAUCUUUUUGUAAAGAAUUUGUUGGUUCAAAUUGAUACUUUCACAACAAAACAGUAGUCAAUCAGUGAGUGUUUAAUCUAAAGGUUAGUUCUUUUCCAUUACAAGUUGAUUAGCUAUAUUGGAAAUCCACGUGAUAAAUUACGCCACAUCUACACAACCACAACAUAUUGCUGUCAGCACAAUAAACUAUCAUCAAAAUAAUGUGUUUUACCUCAUCUGCCUAUCCAUAAAAAUAGUUGGUCUUGUUUACCUAUAAGAAAUCUGCUAGCACACUCUAGACAAUACAAAAUUAAUAAUCCAAUUAAGAUGUAUAACCACCAGUAGUUAAAGCUGACUUUUUCUAAAGAGAUAAGGGGUCUGAAUUUCUCUUAUUUUACUUGCAUAGUUCUAAGGAGAUUUUCUCCUGGUUGACAUCAUAUAUCUUAGAUGCAUUAAAAAAGCAUGUAUCAACUGGUUUUUAUGAAAUCAUAUUCAUGAGAUAAGACCAGUAGAAUUAUGAAGUUUAACACUCUAUGGUCAUGUUUCCUUGUAAUGGAAACUUUCCCCUCUCUAGGAAGCUGUUGCCUCAUUUAGCAAACUUCAAAGCAUAAAUAGUUAGAUUAUCUCCUGGUUGACAUCUAAUAUCUUAGAUGCAUCAAAAAACAUGUAUCAAGUAUCUCAUAUCCAUGAGAUAAAACCUGUAGAAUUUGAAGUUUUGACAUCUAAUAUCUUAGAUGCAUCAAAAAACAUGUAUCAAGUAUCUCAUAUCCAUGAGAUAAAACCUGUAGAAUUUGAAGUUUAACACACUAAGGUCAUGUUUCCUUGUAAUGGAAACUUCCCCCCCCCUCCCCCCCCCCUCCCCAGGAAGCUGUUACCUCAUUUAGCAAACUACAAAUCAUAAAAAGUUUGGAGUCAUAACUGUCUGCAGUAACAGAAAAGCUGAUAGAGACUAAGUAACACACUCAACCUGUCAAAUAUGCCCAUGUUAAUUUCGGAAUGCAUUUUUAUGAACUCAUAUAUUUACCGCUUGUCCUUUUUCUUGUUUUUUGAUGCCUUUGCCUUCUUCUCUUGGUUCUGCAUCAUUUUUUUGCACUCACCAGAAGACUGGUGGGUUGAUCUCUGAGCUCCAUUUGGAAACUCCAUCUUGCAGAUACAUGCAUAGAUGUCCUUGCUAUUGGUUCCCCCUGACAGUGAAGCAAUUGCUGUGAGAGGACCACGUUGCUGUUGUGCUGCCAAUAAAAAGGUCAAAGUAAGUAUAUUUAUCUUUUCUUAACACAUAUAUAUUGUGCAUUUGAUUCCGUAUAUUUAUCUUUUCUUAACACAUAUAUAUUGUGCAUUUGAUUCCUUGCCAUGUUUAUGUUCCUAAAAUUGAUUCUGUUUAUAUCAUUUACAGCUUCACUAGGAGGAUAGUGAUGUAUGUGCAAUGUUGCACCAGGGACUGAGAGGUCUAAUAUUGACACCUUCUACUGACUAUUGACUCUUUGAGCUAACACAAUGUUUUGUGUAACCUGUAAAUUUGUAGUAAAUAGAAUUGAUUUAUUGUGUUAAAUAUUUAUUGUUCUUUAAUCUAGAUUUAGAGCAACACUAAUGUUUUGUGUAACCUUCAGAUUUGUUGUAAAUAAAAUCUGAUAUUUUUUGUUAAAU